RNAcentral lists this ribosomal RNA (504 nucleotides) under uncultured bacterium. Its description in RNAcentral is "partial 16S ribosomal RNA". It matches the Rfam family "Bacterial small subunit ribosomal RNA", at positions 30 to 523 of the family's 1533-position model. The record is from RNAcentral.
AUUGAACGCUGGCGGCAGGCCUAACACAUGCAAGUCGAACGGUAGCACAGAGAGCUUGCUCUCGGGUGACGAGUGGCGGACGGGUGAGUAAUGUCUGGGAAACUGCCCGAUGGAGGGGGAUAACUACUGGAAACGGUAGCUAAUACCGCAUAACGUCGCAAGACCAAAGUGGGGGACCUUCGGGCCUCUCACCAUCGGAUGUGCCCAGAUGGGAUUAGCUAGUAGGUGGGGUAAUGGCUCACCUAGGCGACGAUCCCUAGCUGGUCUGAGAGGAUGACCAGCCACACUGGAACUGAGACACGGUCCAGACUCCUACGGGAGGCAGCAGUGGGGAAUAUUGCACAAUGGGCGCAAGCCUGAUGCAGCCAUGCCGCGUGUAUGAAGAAGGCCUUCGGGUUGUAAAGUACUUUCAGCGGGGAGGAAGGCGGUGGAGUUAAUAACUUCACCGAUUGACGUUACCCGCAGAAGAAGCACCGGCUAACUCCGUGCCAGCCGCCGCGGUAA